This 424-nucleotide ribosomal RNA is filed under the name uncultured prokaryote. RNAcentral's name for it is "bacterial SSU rRNA". It matches the Rfam family "Bacterial small subunit ribosomal RNA", at positions 355 to 796 of the family's 1533-position model. The record is from RNAcentral.
UGGGGAAUCUUGGACAAUGGGCGCAAGCCUGAUCCAGCCAUGCCGCGUGAGUGAUGAAGGCCCUAGGGUUGUAAAACUCUUUCGCCAGGGAAGAUAAUGACUGUACCUGGUAAAGAAGCCCCGGCUAACUCCGUGCCAGCAGCCGCGGUAAUACGGAGGGGGCUAGCGUUGUUCGGAAUUACUGGGCGUAAAGCGCACGUAGGCGGAUCAGCCAGUCAGAGGUGAAAGCCCAGGGCUCAACCCUGGAAUUGCCUUUGAUACUGUUGAUCUGGAGUCCGGGAGAGGUGUGUGGAAUUCCGAGUGUAGAGGUGAAAUUCGUAGAUAUUCGGAGGAACACCAGAGGCGAAGGCGACACACUGGACCGGUACUGACGCUGAGGUGCGAAAGCGUGGGGAGCAAACAGGAUUAGAUACCCCCGUAGUCC